RNAcentral lists this ribosomal RNA (652 nucleotides) under uncultured bacterium. RNAcentral describes it as "bacterial SSU rRNA". It matches the Rfam family "Bacterial small subunit ribosomal RNA", at positions 39 to 691 of the family's 1533-position model. The record is from RNAcentral.
GCGGCAUGCUUACACAUGCAAGUCGAACGGUAGAGUAGCAAUACUUGAGAGUGGCGAACGGGUGAGUAAUAUAUCGGAACGUGCCCAGUCGUGGGGGAUAACGUAGAGAAAUUUACGCUAAUACCGCAUACGAUCUACGGAUGAAAGCGGGGGAUUCGCAAGAACCUCGCGCGAUUGGAGCGGCUGAUAUCAGAUUAGGUUGUUGGUGAGGUAAAAGCUCACCAAGCCGACGAUCUGUAGCUGGUUUGAGAGAACGACCAGCCACACUGGGACUGAGACACGGCCCAGACUCCUACGGGAGGCAGCAGUGGGGAAUUUUGGACAAUGGGCGAAAGCCUGAUCCAGCAAUGCCGCGUGUGGGAAGAAGGCCUUCGGGUUGUAAACCACUUUUGUACGGAACGAAACGGUUCGCUUUAAUACAGUGGGCUAAUGACGGUACCGUAAGAAUAAGCACCGGCUAACUACGUGCCAGCAGCCGCGGUAAUACGUAGGGUGCGAGCGUUAAUCGGAAUUACUGGGCGUAAAGCGUGCGCAGGCGGUUAUAUAAGACAGUUGUGAAAUCCCCGGGCUCAACCUGGGAAUUGCAUCUGUGACUGUAUAGCUAGAGUACGGUAGAGGGGGAUGGAAUUCCGCGUGUAGCAGUGAAAUGCGU